UACGAAGGGGGCUAGCGUUGUUCGGAAUUAUUGGGCGUAAAGAGCUCGUAGGCGGUCUGUCGCGUCUGCUGUGAAAACUCAGGGCUUAACCCUGAGCUUGCAGUGGGUACGGGCAGACUAGAGUGCGGUAGGGGAGACUGGAAUUCCUGGUGUAGCGGUGAAAUGCGCAGAUAUCAGGAGGAACACCGGUGGCGAAGGCGCCACUCUGGGCCGAAACUGACGCUGAGGAGCGAAAGCGUGGGUAGCGAACAGG
RNAcentral lists this ribosomal RNA (253 nucleotides) under uncultured bacterium. RNAcentral's name for it is "partial 16S ribosomal RNA". It matches the Rfam family "Bacterial small subunit ribosomal RNA", at positions 524 to 776 of the family's 1533-position model. The record is from RNAcentral.